CCUUCGAUAGCUCAGUGGUAGAGCGCGGAAUGCAAAUACGGCUCCUUCGAUCCCGAUGAAUUUCAUCCCGAGCUGCGCUGGUUCGAUGCCAGCUCGAAGGA
This is a non-coding RNA of Peniophora sp. CONT, 101 nucleotides long. The record is from Rfam. Lineage: Eukaryota; Fungi; Basidiomycota; Agaricomycetes; Russulales; Peniophoraceae.